RNAcentral lists this ribosomal RNA (1369 nucleotides) under uncultured bacterium. RNAcentral's name for it is "bacterial SSU rRNA". It matches the Rfam family "Bacterial small subunit ribosomal RNA", at positions 28 to 1381 of the family's 1533-position model. The record is from RNAcentral.
GACGAACGCUGGCGGCGUGCCUAAUACAUGCAAGUAGAACGCUGAAGAGAGGAGCUUGCUCUUCUUGGAUGAGUUGCGAACGGGUGAGUAACGCGUAGGUAACCUGCCUUGUAGCGGGGGAUAACUAUUGGAAACGAUAGCUAAUACCGCAUAACAAUGGAUGACACAUGUCAUUUAUUUGAAAGGGGCAAUUGCUCCACUACAAGAUGGACCUGCGUUGUAUUAGCUAGUAGGUGAGGUAACGGCUCACCUAGGCGACGAUACAUAGCCGACCUGAGAGGGUGAUCGGCCACACUGGGACUGAGACACGGCCCAGACUCCUACGGGAGGCAGCGGUAGGGAAUCUUCGGCAAUGGGGGCAACCCUGACCGAGCAACGCCGCGUGAGUGAAGAAGGUUUUCGGAUCGUAAAGCUCUGUUGUAAGUCAAGAACGAGUGUGAGAGUGGAAAGUUCACACUGUGACGGUAGCUUACCAGAAAGGGACGGCUAACUACGUGCCAGCAGCCGCGGUAAUACGUAGGUCCCGAGCGUUGUCCGGAUUUAUUGGGCGUAAAGCGAGCGCAGGCGGUUUGAUAAGUCUGAAGUUAAAGGCUGUGGCUCAACCAUAGUUCGCUUUGGAAACUGUCAAACUUGUGUGCAGAAGGGGAGAGUGGAAUUCCAUGUGUAGCGGUGAAAUGCGUAGAUAUAUGGAGGAACACCGGUGGCGAAAGCGGCUCUCUGGUCUGUAACUGACGCUGAGGCUCGAAAGCGUGGGGAGCGAACAGGAUUAGAUACCCUGGUAGUCCACGCCGUAAACGAUGAGUGCUAGGUGUUGGAUCCUUUCCGGGAUUCAGUGCCGCAGCUAACGCAUUAAGCACUCCGCCUGGGGAGUACGACCGCAAGGUUGAAACUCAAAGGAAUUGACGGGGGCCCGCACAAGCGGUGGAGCAUGUGGUUUAAUUCGAAGCAACGCGAAGAACCUUACCAGGUCUUGACAUCCCGAUGCUAUUUCUAGAGAUAGAAAGUUACUUCGGUACAUCGGUGACAGGUGGUGCAUGGUUGUCGUCAGCUCGUGUCGUGAGAUGUUGGGUUAAGUCCCGCAACGAGCGCAACCCCUAUUGUUAGUUGCCAUCAUUCAGUUGGGCACUCUAGCGAGACUGCCGGUAAUAAACCGGAGGAAGGUGGGGAUGACGUCAAAUCAUCAUGCCCCUUAUGACCUGGGCUACACACGUGCUACAAUGGUUGGUACAACGAGUUGCGAGUCGGUGACGGCAAGCUAAUCUCUUAAAGCCAAUCUCAGUUCGGAUUGUAGGCUGCAACUCGCCUACAUGAAGUCGGAAUCGCUAGUAAUCGCGGAUCAGCACGCCGCGGUGAAUACGUUCCCGGGCCU